UGUGCCAACGGACAGGCACAGGCCAUCAAGGACGACGGUCAAGGACAUCGCGGGAUGCGAUUCAUCAGGAUGAUGACCAGGGAAUACAGGGAUCAGGGAUAAAAUGUGGGCGGGUCAUACCGCCCCUUUUUUU
Non-coding RNA from Pseudomonas syringae, 133 nucleotides. NCBI's taxonomy places the organism in Bacteria, Pseudomonadati, Pseudomonadota, Gammaproteobacteria, Pseudomonadales, Pseudomonadaceae. The record is from Rfam.